UAUAUUUGCCGCGCUAAUUAAAAAUUAGUUAGGCUACAUAAAAAUCAUUUAAAAUAAUAUUGGCAUG
This 67-nucleotide non-coding RNA is filed under the name unclassified sequences. RNAcentral's name for it is "S15-Flavobacteria ribosomal protein leader". It matches the Rfam family "S15-Flavobacteria ribosomal protein leader". The record is from RNAcentral.